CCAAGCUGGAUAAAUACCCAAAAAAUACACCUAGACAUAUUAUCUCAAACUUACAGAAAAUGAAAGAUAAAGUCCUGAUACAAUUUCAGAGGAAAAAAAAACACACCUUACCCAUAAAAGAACAAAGUCAAGAAUUACAUCAAUGCCAACACAUGCCAGCAAGAUGAGAGUAGAGUGAAAUAUUGUUUAAGUGCUGAGAGAAAAAUCCAGCAACCCAGAAUCCAGCAUCCUGCAAAGUUGUCCUCCAAACACGAAGGAGAAUAGACUUCCUCAGAAAAACAAAAGUUAAGGGAAUUUUUGGCUACUAGACCCGCCUUGCAAGAAAUGUUAAAAGAUUUUUAGAGAGAAAGAAAAUACUAUUGGUCAGAAACUUGGAUCUACAUAAGCUAAGGAAGAACAUUGAAGAAAGAAUAAAUGAAGGCUGUGCUGCUGUACUUGAUUCUACAGAGGAGUUUCUUGUUGAAAA
Mustela erminea (ermine) is the source of this 466-nucleotide long non-coding RNA. RefSeq lists it as uncharacterized. The transcript has 2 exons. NCBI's taxonomy places the organism in Eukaryota, Metazoa, Chordata, Mammalia, Carnivora, Mustelidae. The record is from RefSeq and is a predicted model, not a curated record.